RNAcentral lists this ribosomal RNA (836 nucleotides) under Actinoplanes sp. IM-2109. RNAcentral describes it as "bacterial SSU rRNA". It matches the Rfam family "Bacterial small subunit ribosomal RNA", at positions 38 to 889 of the family's 1533-position model. Lineage: Bacteria; Bacillati; Actinomycetota; Actinomycetes; Micromonosporales; Micromonosporaceae. The record is from RNAcentral.
GGCGGCGUGCUUAACACAUGCAAGUCGAGCGGAAAGGCCCUUCGGGGUACUCGAGCGGCGGACGGGUGAGUAACACGUGAGUAACCUGCCCCGAACUUUGGGAUAACCCUCGGAAACGGGGGCUAAUACCGAAUACGACACGCCUUCGCAUGGGGUGCGUGUGGAAAGUUUUUCGGUUCGGGAUGGACUCGCGGCCUAUCAGCUUGUUGGUGGGGUAAUGGCCUACCAAGGCGACGACGGGUAGCCGGCCUGAGAGGGCGACCGGCCACACUGGGACUGAGACACGGCCCAGACUCCUACGGGAGGCAGCAGUGGGGAAUAUUGCACAAUGGGCGGAAGCCUGAUGCAGCGACGCCGCGUGAGGGAUGACGGCCUUCGGGUCGUAAACCUCUUUCAGCAGGGACGAAGCGCAAGUGACGGUACCUGCAGAAGAAGCGCCGGCCAACUACGUGCCAGCAGCCGCGGUAAGACGUAGGGCGCGAGCGUUGUCCGGAUUUAUUGGGCGUAAAGAGCUCGUAGGCGGCUUGUCGCGUCGAAUGUGAAAUCUCGGGGCUCAACUCCGAGCUUGCAUUCGAUACGGGCAGGCUAGAGUUCGGUAGGGGAGACUGGAAUUCCUGGUGUAGCGGUGAAAUGCGCAGAUAUCAGGAGGAACACCGGUGGCGAAGGCGGGUCUCUGGGCCGAUACUGACGCUGAGGAGCGAAAGCGUGGGGAGCGAACAGGAUUAGAUACCCUGGUAGUCCACGCUGUAAACGUUGGGCGCUAGGUGUGGGGACCCUCUCCGGGUUUCUGCGCCGCAGCUAACGCAUUAAGCACCCCGCCUGGGGAGUACGGCCGC